Long non-coding RNA from Oryctolagus cuniculus (rabbit), 1107 nucleotides. RefSeq lists it as uncharacterized. Lineage: Eukaryota; Metazoa; Chordata; Mammalia; Lagomorpha; Leporidae. The record is from RefSeq and is a predicted model, not a curated record.
GAAUGUCUCAGUAACUAGACCAAAACACGGGAAAGUGGAUUUUCCCUGCUGGUGUUUGAGGGGACCCUCCUGAAUUCCUUUUGCAAGGAUUUUUACAAUUAUCCUUCUCAUUAGCAUCAUGGACACAAAUGCCCAAGCCAAGAGGCCGCAGAGUUGGUUCUUUUGCUUUCCCAUUUUCAUCACAGAUCUUAUCCCCCUAAAAACUGAGAUAACAGAUCUGCUCUUUUAUUCACAGUCCAGGAUCCGGACAUCCAGACUUUCCCACAACAUCAUUAAGAUGGCAUCACUUUCUACAGCUAGGGCUCCUCAGAUGAGGGCUUCUGAGAUUUAGAUGUGUUGCUUUUCUCUUUUCCCUCCCAGUAGGAGCAAGCUGGUGGAAAAUGAGUCACAGCUCUACCGGGAAACUCCUCUGAUAUUGAAGCAACGGCUGAGAGACAGACUGGACGCCACAGUCUUCCCUAGGAAACUAUUGCUCUGGUGACUGUUCCUGUGGCCUGCAUCCUCACGCUGUUAACAUCUCUCAGGCUCAAGAUACAACUGCUAACUCUAACCCAUGCCCCUGCCAUUGCCUUCCACUGCCCCCACCAGAGGCCAAACCAACUGAACCACUUGAAUUUAGAAUUGAACCUCCAAAAAUGUGAGGUACUCCCUUCAGUCUGUAGCCUCACCCACCAGGAAGUGUCAGCCAAUCACUGUAGCCCUCUGGAUGCUGUCACCUCUUCCUUCAGGAAACUCUUCCAAGCCAGCGUUCCUCACUCCACCCAACAACAAACUUCCAGGUUAUAAAUUUGAGGUCCAAUUGGGCCAGUGCUGUGGCGCAGUGGAUUAAAGCCCUGGCCUGAAAUAUUGGCAUCCCAUAUGGGCACCAGUUCUAGUCCCGGCUGCUCCUUUUCUGAUCCAGCUCUCUGCUGUGGCCUGGGAAAGCAGUAGAAGAUGGCCCAAGUCCUUGGGCCCCUGCACCCAUGUAGGAGACCCAGAAGAAGCUCCUGGCUCCUGGCUUUGGAUGGGUGCAGAUCUGGCCAUUGUGGCCAUCUGGGGAGUAAGCCAGCAGAUGGAAAACCUUCUCUCUGUCUCUACUUCUCUCUGUGACUGUCUUUCAAAUAAAUA